Mus musculus (house mouse) is the source of this 944-nucleotide RNA transcript. It is a transcript of the gene named major urinary protein 3, with no coding region annotated. Lineage: Eukaryota; Metazoa; Chordata; Mammalia; Rodentia; Muridae. The record is from RefSeq and is marked validated. The transcript has 7 exons.
AAGCAAAGGAGCUGGGGAGUGGAGUGUAGGCACUAUAACCUGAAAGACGUGGUCCUGACAGGAGGACAAUUCUAUUCCCUACCAAAAUGAAGCUGCUGCUGCCGCUGCUUCUGCUCCUGUGUUUGGAACUGACUUUAGUCUGUAUCCAUGCAGAAGAAUCUAGUUCUAUGGAAAGGAACUUUAAUGUAGAACAGAUUAGUGGGUAUUGGUUUUCUAUUGCUGAAGCCUCUGAUGAAAGAGAAAAGAUAGAAGAACAUGGCAGCAUGAGAGCUUUUGUGGAAAACAUCACUGUCUUGGAGAAUUCCUUAGUCUUUAAAUUCCAUUUAAUUGUAAAUGAAGAGUGCACCGAAAUGACUGCGAUUGGUGAACAAACAGAAAAGGCUGGCAUAUAUUAUAUGAACUAUGAUGGAUUCAAUACAUUUAGUAUACUUAAGACAGACUAUGAUAAUUAUAUUAUGAUUCAUCUCAUUAACAAAAAGGAUGGGAAAACCUUCCAGCUGAUGGAGCUCUAUGGCCGAGAACCAGAUUUGAGUUUAGACAUCAAGGAAAAGUUUGCAAAACUAUGCGAGGAGCAUGGAAUCAUUAGAGAAAAUAUCAUUGACCUAACCAAUGUCAAUCGCUGCCUCGAGGCCCGAGAAUGAAGAAUGGCCUGAGCCUCCAGGUGGGCAAUAUACAAUGAGAGCAAGGAGGAGUGUUGAGUGGAGACUUUUCACCAGGACUCCAGCAUCAUCCCUUCCUAUCCAUACAGACUCCCAUGCCAAGGUCUGUGAUCUGCUCUCCACCUGUCUCACAGAGAAGUGCAAUCCCGUUCUCUCCAGCAUGUUACCUAGGAUAACUCAUCAAGAAUCAAAGACUUUCUUUAAAUUUCUCUUUGCCAACACAUGGAAAUUCUCCAUUGAUUUCUUUCCUGUCCUGUUCAAUAAAUGAUUACACUUGCACUUAAA